RNAcentral lists this ribosomal RNA (460 nucleotides) under uncultured bacterium. Its description in RNAcentral is "partial 16S ribosomal RNA". It matches the Rfam family "Bacterial small subunit ribosomal RNA", at positions 338 to 795 of the family's 1533-position model. The record is from RNAcentral.
CCUACGGGCGGCAGCAGUGAGGAAUCUUGGUCAAUGGACGAGAGUCUGAACCAGCCAAGUAGCGUGAAGGAUGACUGCCCUAUGGGUUGUAAACUUCUUUUAUAUGGGAAUAAAAUGUUCCACGUGUGGGAUUUUGUAUGUACCAGAUGAAUAAGGAUCGGCUAACUCCGUGCCAGCAGCCGCGGUAAUACGGAGGAUCCGAGCGUUAUCCGGAUUUAUUGGGUUUAAAGGGAGCGUAGGUGGAUUGUUAAGUCAGGUGUGAAAGUUUGCGGCUCAACCGUAAAAUUGCAGUUGAAACUGGCAGUCUAGAGUACAGUAGAGGUGGACGGAAUUCGUGGUGUAGCGGUGAAAUGCUUAGAUAUCACGAAGAACUCCGAUUGCGAAGGCAGCUCACUGGACUGCAACUGACACUGAGGCUCGAAAGUGUGGGUAUCAAACAGGAUUAGAUACCCUUGUAGUC